AGGGACGCAGCAGUGAGGGUAAACCAGCCGAUGCCUUGGUCUUCACGGGACCCUCUGAAGGAGAAUGAAGAAAUCCAGAAGCAGUGGCCACACAGCCUCUCCAGAACCACAGCGGGGCUGCACUGGGACCCAUGCUGGGUCUCUGCCUGACCCUGGGCUUUUCAGAGAGCCCACAAAGGCUUUUCUCCAGGAACACCCUCCCUGUUCCAGACCACACGGCAGGUGUCAUGGGUUCCAUAUUCUUCUGUGAUGGAGACAUGUUCACUUUCUUGGGCCCUGACUCAGCCCAUCUCCUCUCCACUGCCCCAACCCCACUUCCAGAGUCCUUCACCCUCUUCAGGGUUUCUGAGAGUCUCGGUGAACUCACACACCCAGGCACUGAAGAAGACGAGGCUGCGGAGAGAAGUCUAGUCCCUCCGGAGAGGCCGAGUGAUCUAUGGGAAUGGCUCAUCACAGGCUGGAGUGCCCACAAUUCUCUCUCUCCUUAAUUUAAAGAAAUAUAGAGGAGCAUGUUUGAAGGAGCAUAAAAAAAUUAUAAUGCGAACUCACCGACUCACUCUUUCAACAAAAAUGU
This 574-nucleotide long non-coding RNA is filed under the name Pan troglodytes (chimpanzee). RNAcentral's name for it is "lincRNA". The record is from RNAcentral. Lineage: Eukaryota; Metazoa; Chordata; Mammalia; Primates; Hominidae.